UAGAAAAAAAAAAAGGAGCUAUUUCCAUGGCUUUUUCUUAACAAAAAAACAGAUCUGAAGAAUCAACUGUUUCCAUCGAAGAUUCACAACAAAAAUCAUAGAGAACCCUCUAAGACACACAGUCGUUUCCCCACCAAAAACACGGAUAUCAUCUCCUUCGUGACCCCCCAUCCAAGAACACCCCAGCCGCAAAAACAAAGAGAUCCUUUCCUGAAAUUGAUCUUCUUCUACACCUCAAGACCAUCAGCGAAUUUCACACCCAAAUACCCAUUUUCCAACUGUUUUGCUUCUGCAUCUCACAAUCAACGGCCCCUUCUUCUUUGCCCACACACCCUUGACAUGAGGACAAGCAUCAGUCAUUCAACACACAAACACACUAAUUCAUAGAGAAAUUGGGAUAGAGGGAAAGAAGAAAGAAAGCUAGGAAACAGAUUCCAUUUGAGGCAGUGGGAGUUCGAGUUCAAGCAUUCCGGGUUUCAAUUGUGGUUCUGUGUUUGCCUUGGAUUCGUUGCUAUUUGUUUUAGUUUGUUUGGAUUUAGGAUUCAAAGCUUUAUAGCCAACUUCACUUUUAUUAUCAAAAGGAAAUUCGAUAUCUCAGGUUUGUUUCGAUUUCUCAUAAUUGUCAACAUAUGAUUUUUUGUUUACUCUGAGUUACUAUAAUUUCUUUAUGCAUAAACCAUAGCAGCGGUAUUCAUAAUUUAGAGUUAACGGGUUUGUAAUAGAUUUAUAUUUUACAAUUCUUUUGCAUACGUAUAAGUAAGAGUUGAAAGUGUUAGGAUUUAUUUUGAGUGACUCAAAAGUAAAUAUGCUUUCUGAUAAAAGGAACACGUUAUUAUUUUUUUGAAAAGAUGUGUCCAAUCUUUCUGACUCCUUUGUUUCACUUUCGUUAGUCUG
RNAcentral lists this long non-coding RNA (894 nucleotides) under Nicotiana benthamiana. Its description in RNAcentral is "long non-coding RNA (NBEN_LNC014950)". Lineage: Eukaryota; Viridiplantae; Streptophyta; Magnoliopsida; Solanales; Solanaceae. The record is from RNAcentral.